RNAcentral lists this non-coding RNA (91 nucleotides) under Streptomyces roseus. RNAcentral describes it as "sodF sRNA". It matches the Rfam family "sodF sRNA". Rfam says of the family: Identified in Streptomyces coelicolor. It is produced from sodF mRNA by cleavage of about 90 nucleotides from its 3'UTR. However, it does not affect the function of sodF mRNA, but acts on another mRNA called sodN. s-SodF RNA has a sequence complimentary to sodN mRNA from the 5'-end up to the ribosome binding site. Lineage: Bacteria; Bacillati; Actinomycetota; Actinomycetes; Kitasatosporales; Streptomycetaceae. The record is from Rfam by way of RNAcentral.
GUGCCCCCACCUCGUGAUCGUCUUCUCAACCUUCGCGUAGGGGGCGUCCAACGGAAGACCCCCGCAAGGACGUGACUUGCGGGGGUCUUCU